This 122-nucleotide small RNA is filed under the name Marmota monax (woodchuck). The record is from RNAcentral. Lineage: Eukaryota; Metazoa; Chordata; Mammalia; Rodentia; Sciuridae.
GCCAGGUGCUGUGAUGCAUGCCUGUAAUCCCAGCAGCUGGGGAGGCUGAGGCAGGAGGAUCAUGAGUUCAAAACCAGCCUCAAAAGCAAGGUGCUAAGCAACUCAGUGAGACCCUGUCUCUA